GUGAACUGCGCAGAACAUCGCUUGAAAACUUUUUCCGAUUUCAAAGGAAAAAUUCCCUUCAGCAUUUCGGAAAUCAAGUUAAAAGAGCUGCAGCAGAAGAGGCUUAGUCCAAGGAUGAGUCCGAUCCACGAGAUGUGAGAGGACGAAUGGUUGUCAGUCUUCCGUGGCAGUGCCCAGCAGUCCAGUGGCAGUGCCCAGCAGUCAUAGGCCAGCAGCUCUAACUGAGGGAUGGACCGACUCCCUUCCCGCGGCUGAACCCGGCAUCCUCCCAUCGAUGUAUACAAGCCACCUGUCCUACUUCUACCGGCAUCGUGACUAGUCCUCCAUGGUGACGAACAGUAACUCUGGACCUAGAGUGCUUAUAAAUCAGGAUGUAUAGAUGCAACAGAAAUGAACAAGGAUAGAGUAUUCCGUAGGGAGUUUUCGCAAAAGAGUAGGGACAAUCCAGGAUGAAUGAGUGUACAUGUAACAGUUUUAAAUAACCUAAGAUAUAGUGUUCUGUGGACUGAUGAAUAUAUUAUGCGCAUUAAUCUCUUAGUUGUUGAUGUACACCAACCAACAGGGAAGGACUUGUUGCCAGAGGAACAUUUCCUUACUACUCCA
This is a long non-coding RNA of Lineus longissimus, 603 nucleotides long. RefSeq lists it as uncharacterized. The record is from RefSeq and is a predicted model, not a curated record. Lineage: Eukaryota; Metazoa; Nemertea; Pilidiophora; Heteronemertea; Lineidae. The transcript is spliced from 3 exons.